GAUGAAGAACGUAGUGAAAUGCGAUAAGUAGUGUGAAUUGCAGAAUUCAGUGAAUCAUCGAAUCUUUGAACGCACAUUGCGCCCCUUGGUAUUCCAUGGGGCAUGCCUGUUCGAGCGUCAUUUGUACCCUCCAGCCCUGCUGGGUGUUGGGCGUUUUGUUCCGCCGCGCGCGUGAACUCGCCUCAAAUGCAUUGGCAGCCAGCCGUCCCGCGUGGGAGCGCAGCACAUUUUGCGCUCUCCGCUGGGUGCGACGGCGUCCACAAGCCUAUACCUUUACGCUUGACCUCGGAUCAGGUAGGGAUACCCGCUGAACUUAAGCAUAUCAAUACGGAGGA
RNAcentral lists this unclassified non-coding RNA (335 nucleotides) under soil metagenome. RNAcentral's name for it is "partial contains 5.8S ribosomal RNA, internal transcribed spacer 2, and large subunit ribosomal RNA". The stretch from base 1 to 120 matches the Rfam family "5.8S ribosomal RNA", at positions 35 to 154 of the family's 154-position model. The record is from RNAcentral.